RNAcentral lists this ribosomal RNA (465 nucleotides) under uncultured bacterium. RNAcentral describes it as "bacterial SSU rRNA". It matches the Rfam family "Bacterial small subunit ribosomal RNA", at positions 37 to 507 of the family's 1533-position model. The record is from RNAcentral.
UGGCGGCGUGCUUAACACAUGCAAGUCGAACGAUGAACCAGGGGCUUGGCCCUGGGGAAAUUAGUGGCGAACGGGGUGAGUAACACGUGGGCAACCUGCCCCAGACACCGGGAUAACCAUCCGAAAGGAUGGCUAAUACCGGAUAUGACCACUUUGGGGCAUCCAACGGUGGUGGAAAGGAUUCUGGUCUGGGAUGGGCCCGCGGCCUAUCAGCUAGUUGGUGGGGUAAUGGGCCUACCAAGGCGACGACGGGUAGCCGGCCUGAGAGGGCGACCGGCCACACUGGGACUGAGACACGGCCCAGACUCCUACGGGAGGCAGCAGUGGGGAAUAUUGCGCAAUGGGGCGAAAGCCUGACGCAGCGACGCCGCGUGAGGGACGAAGGUCUUCGGAUUGUAAACCUCUUUCAGCAGGGACGAAGCGAAAGUGACUGUGCCUGCAGAAGAAGCACCGGCUAACUACGUG